RNAcentral lists this non-coding RNA (29 nucleotides) under Rattus norvegicus (Norway rat). The record is from RNAcentral. Lineage: Eukaryota; Metazoa; Chordata; Mammalia; Rodentia; Muridae.
UNGGGCUCCAGUUGCCUGGGAAACUCUGU